This 64-nucleotide transfer RNA is filed under the name Sternocampsus coriaceus. RNAcentral describes it as "tRNA-Met". The record is from RNAcentral. Lineage: Eukaryota; Metazoa; Arthropoda; Insecta; Coleoptera; Elateridae.
AAAAAGAUAAGCUAAAAUAAGCUUUUGGGUUCAUACCCCAACUAUAAAUUAAAUUUUCUUUUUA